This 491-nucleotide ribosomal RNA is filed under the name uncultured bacterium. Its description in RNAcentral is "partial 16S ribosomal RNA". It matches the Rfam family "Bacterial small subunit ribosomal RNA", at positions 29 to 506 of the family's 1533-position model. The record is from RNAcentral.
AGUGAACGCUGGCGGUAGGCCUAACACAUGCAAGUCGAACGGCAGCACAGUAAGAGCUUGCUCUUACGGGUGGCGAGUGGCGGACGGGUGAGGAAUACAUCGGAAUCUACUUUUUCGUGGGGGAUAACGUAGGGAAACUUACGCUAAUACCGCAUACGACCUACGGGUGAAAGCAGGGGAUCUUCGGACCUUGCGCGAUUGAAUGAGCCGAUGUCGGAUUAGCUAGUUGGCGGGGUAAAGGCCCACCAAGGCGACGAUCCGUAGCUGGUCUGAGAGGAUGAUCAGCCACACUGGAACUGAGACACGGUCCAGACUCCUACGGGAGGCAGCAGUGGGGAAUAUCGGACAAUGGGCGCAAGCCUGAUCCAGCCAUACCGCGUGGGUGAAGAAGGCCUUCGGGUUGUAAAGCCCUUUUGUUGGGAAAGAAAAGCAGCAGGUUAAUACCCCGCUGUUCUGACGGUACCCAAAGAAUAAGCACCGGCUAACUUCGU